RNAcentral lists this ribosomal RNA (565 nucleotides) under fungal sp. KF-2. Its description in RNAcentral is "eukaryotic LSU rRNA". The stretch from base 210 to 363 matches the Rfam family "5.8S ribosomal RNA". The record is from RNAcentral. Lineage: Eukaryota; Fungi.
UAACAAGGUCUCCGUAGGUGAACCUGCGGAGGGAUCAUUACAGAGUUCAUGCCCUUACGGGUAGAUCUCCCACCCUGUGUUAUUAUAACCUUUGUUGCUUUGGCGGGCCGCCAGGCUUCGGCCAGGCUACCGGCUCCGGCUGGUGAGCGCCCGCCAGAGGAAAUCAAACCCUGAGUAUUAGUGUCGUCUGAGUACUAUAUAAUAGUUAAAACUUUCAACAACGGAUCUCUUGGUUCUGGCAUCGAUGAAGAACGCAGCGAAAUGCGAUAAGUAAUGUGAAUUGCAGAAUUCAGUGAAUCAUCGAAUCUUUGAACGCACAUUGCGCCCCUUGGUAUUCCGAGGGGCAUGCCUGUUCGAGCGUCAUUACAACCCUCAAGCAUUGCUUGGUCUUGGGCUGCGCUGCUAACCCAGCGGGCCUUAAAAUCAGUGGCGGUGCCGUCGGGCUCUGAGCGUAGUAAUUCUUCUCGCUACAGGGACCCGGUGGUGACUGGCCAGCAACCCCCAAUUUUCUAUGGUUGACCUCGGAUCAGGUAGGGAUACCCGCUGAACUUAAGCAUAUCAAUAA